GAUGAACGCUGGCGGCGUGCUUAACACAUGCAAGUCGAACGGAAAGGCCCAAGCUUGCUUGGGUACUCGAGUGGCGAACGGGUGAGUAACACGUGGGUGAUCUGCCCUGCACUUCGGGAUAAGCCUGGGAAACUGGGUCUAAUACCGGAUAGGACCACUUCUUGGAUGUUGUGGUGGAAAGUUUUUUCGGUGUGGGAUGAGCUCGCGGCCUAUCAGCUUGUUGGUGGGGUAAUGGCCUACCAAGGCGUCGACGGGUAGCCGGCCUGGGAGGGUGUACGGCCACAUUGGGACUGAGAUACGGCCCAGACUCCUACGGGAGGCAGCAGUGGGGAAUAUUGCACAAUGGGCGCAGGCCUGAUGCAGCGACGCCGCGUGGGGGAUGACGGCCUUCGGGUUGUAAACUCCUUUCGCAAGGGACGAAGCGUUUUGUGACGGUACCUGGAGAAGAAGCACCGGCUAACUACGUG
RNAcentral lists this ribosomal RNA (467 nucleotides) under uncultured bacterium. Its description in RNAcentral is "partial 16S ribosomal RNA". It matches the Rfam family "Bacterial small subunit ribosomal RNA", at positions 28 to 507 of the family's 1533-position model. The record is from RNAcentral.